CCCUUAGAUGUUCUGGGCCGCACGCGCGCUACACUGACGAAGGCAACGAGUCCCUUGGCCGGAAGGUCCGGGUAAUCUGCUAAACUUCGUCGUGAUGGGGAUAGAUUAUUGCAAUUAUUAAUCUUCAACGAGGAAUUCCUAGUAAGCGCGAGUCAUCAGCUCGCGUUGAUUACGUCCCUGCCCUUUGUACACACCGCCCGUCGCUCCUACCGAUUGAAUGGUCCGGUGAAGCGUUCGGAUGUGUGAGGCGAGACGGUCCGCCGUCCCUCCUCGUGCAGAAGUUCGUUAAACCUUAUCAUUUAGAGGAAGGAGAAGUCGUAACA
This 323-nucleotide ribosomal RNA is filed under the name uncultured eukaryote. Its description in RNAcentral is "partial 18S ribosomal RNA". It matches the Rfam family "Eukaryotic small subunit ribosomal RNA", at positions 1470 to 1796 of the family's 1831-position model. The record is from RNAcentral.